UACGUAGGGUGCGAGCGUUAAUCGGAAUUACUGGGCGUAAAGCGUGCGCAGGCGGUUUUGCAAGCCGGAUGUGAAAUCCCCGGGCUUAACCUGGGAAUGGCAUUUGGGACUGCAAGGCUGGAGUGCGGCAGAGGAGACUGGAAUUCCUGGUGUAGCAGUGAAAUGCGUAGAUAUCAGGAGGAACAUCGAUGGCGAAGGCAGGUCUCUGGGCUGACACUGACGCUCAUGCACGAAAGCGUGGGGAGCAAACAGG
This 253-nucleotide ribosomal RNA is filed under the name uncultured bacterium. RNAcentral's name for it is "partial 16S ribosomal RNA". It matches the Rfam family "Bacterial small subunit ribosomal RNA", at positions 524 to 776 of the family's 1533-position model. The record is from RNAcentral.